AGAGUCUGUCAUGUUCAUCUCACCUGUGAUGACUUUGAAGUGAAUGUGUUAUCAGUAGUUCAGCCCAACAAUAUUGUGUGAACCAGAGCAAAAAUGAAAAUGGAGAAAGGAAAUGCACACAAAAGCACCAUUAUCAGCUGGUUCCAUCUGAACAAUCACAUCGUGCGCGGAUAAGGACAGAUGGAUCUGGCUGCCUUGAAGGCGUGGGGUUUCAGGCAGAUUGUUACAAUUCUUCCCCAGAUUUGAGAGCCUGUGCAGCACUGAUGCUCGUUAAGCCCAUUGCCCUUUUGAAACCAAUUUCGGUGUCUCUGCACUCAUGCCCGUGCGAAUAUGUGGUCAGCUUGCUUUUUCAGGCUGUCGCGCCCCAUGCAGCGCUUAGCUCUGUCUGGAUUAUGACAGCACUUUCCCUGCUCUGGGUCACCAGGAUCAGCUCUCACUCAACACCACAGCCAUACAUAUAAUCCCAUCAGCCCCAGCAUGGAAGAAGAGGAUUUCAGGGUGACUAUGAGGACUUUACAGAAGAUUAGGCCACUGGAUAUCUCAUUCCACAUCACAAAUGGAGAUCACAGUCUCGUGCAGGACAGAGGAACAAAACAAACACACACGGCCUGAUGAUUCGGCAAAAACACACACAGGAAAUUAUGGCAUCAGUUAUUCAGGAAAGUUUGACCUGCCAGGGGAAAAAUGCGAUGAUCCAUCUAAGUGGCUGUGGUAUUCAGCUGGUGUCUAACAAGGGCGGUCUCUCACGCACACCUGCCCUCCAUCUGUUACCGACACA
Rhinichthys klamathensis goyatoka is the source of this 778-nucleotide long non-coding RNA. RefSeq lists it as uncharacterized. The record is from RefSeq and is a predicted model, not a curated record. NCBI's taxonomy places the organism in Eukaryota, Metazoa, Chordata, Actinopteri, Cypriniformes, Leuciscidae. The transcript has 3 exons.